GCGGCCGCGGCGGGCAGGACCGGCGGGGGGCGGCAGGCUGCCGAGGCGACGGAGACCCGAUCCCGGGUGGCCAGGCCUUGCCCUGACCACAGGCUCAGCAUGGAGAGCACCCUCCGACUACCGGGUGCUGGACAGCGCCAGGCCAGUUGCCUCUGCUGACCCACACAGAACUGCAUGAACUCAUGAAGGAAAUCAACUCUGCUGACUGAACUCACUAUACUGACUCUCUGCUAACUGAAGAAACGCCACUGCAUUGAACACGAGUGACUAAACACAGCUCACGGAUUCUCCCUGGGCUGCUCUCUAAUAGCUUUUGUUUCCUUCCCACCCCAACCCCCUGUGUUGUUCUCCUGAGAGUUAAGCAUAUCCUAACUCUGACUCAUUCUGUCAAAUCUUUCUGAUUUGUCACUUUGCCUAUUAAUUAGACGUCACUUUCAAACAUGGCUGCUUAUAUCUAUAAACUAAACUUAUUUACAUUGUUUAGGAUUAGGUGUCUGCUAAAGGUAUGUUUCUAUUCCAGACAAAGUAGCCAUGUUACUGUAUUAAAAUUUCUUUAUAGUCAUUUCUAAUUCCACUUUCAGUGGAUCUAACGCCUUCUGACCUCCAUGAGGACCAUAUGUGCAAAUGCCACUUAUACUUACACUGUAGAAAUCGUUUAUAUGCAUAAAAUAAAAAGAAGUACUUUUUUAAAAAAAUCCAUAA
This 702-nucleotide long non-coding RNA is filed under the name Rattus norvegicus (Norway rat). RNAcentral's name for it is "long non-coding RNA NONRATT022340". Lineage: Eukaryota; Metazoa; Chordata; Mammalia; Rodentia; Muridae. The record is from RNAcentral.